This 257-nucleotide long non-coding RNA is filed under the name Lathyrus oleraceus (garden pea). RNAcentral describes it as "Pisum sativum (pea) long non-coding RNA (PSAT_LNC022312)". The record is from RNAcentral. Lineage: Eukaryota; Viridiplantae; Streptophyta; Magnoliopsida; Fabales; Fabaceae.
UUGGUUGAAAAAGUUCUUAGAUGCUUAAACCCUAGUUGGUAACCCAAAGUCAUCGCGGUUCUAAAUCUAAGGACUUGUCGUCCAUGGAUUUGACUGUUUUAUUUACUAAAUAGUAAGAACACGAGUUGGAGUUGAAAAUACUUGUAGAUGACAAGGAAGAUGAUAAGAAGAAGAAAACUCUAGCUCUUAAGGUCGUGGAAGAAAAAGAUUAUGACUUUGAUGAAAAAUGACGCUAUUUGUUCCAAUUUUCAUAAGAU